Molecule: transfer RNA, 72 nt
Filed under: Sus scrofa (pig)
Lineage: Eukaryota; Metazoa; Chordata; Mammalia; Artiodactyla; Suidae
Rfam family: tRNA
About the family: Transfer RNA (tRNA) molecules are approximately 80 nucleotides in length. Their secondary structure includes four short double-helical elements and three loops (D, anti-codon, and T loops). Further hydrogen bonds mediate the characteristic L-shaped molecular structure. tRNAs have two regions of fundamental functional importance: the anti-codon, which is responsible for specific mRNA codon recognition, and the 3' end, to which the tRNAs corresponding amino acid is attached (by aminoacyl-tRNA synthetases). tRNAs cope with the degeneracy of the genetic code in two manners: having more than one tRNA (with a specific anti-codon) for a particular amino acid; and 'wobble' base-pairing, i.e. permitting non-standard base-pairing at the 3rd anti-codon position.
Source: Rfam by way of RNAcentral
UCCCUGGUGGUUUAGUGCUUAGGAUUCAGCACUUUCACCACUGCAGCCUGGGUUCAAUCCCUGGCCUGGGAA